UUGGAGCUGACCUCUAAUGACCUACAGGGGUCAAUGAAGAAUUACACAGGGGUCAAAUUUUAAAUGUGCCAAUGAUAUUGAAAGGUAUACUAUGUUAUUUGUCAGAUCAUAAAGAUUCCAAAAAGGUAUAGUUUGAACUAUCUUUGAAUGAAUGUUAUGGGGUAAAACUGAAAAAAAUGGUGAGUGACAAAGGUCAAUUUCAGUUUGUACAGGGGUCAAAGUUAAAGUUGCUCCAGUUUUAGUAACAAGUGAUGCAAAUUAUUGGUUGAGCUAAUAGGAUUAAUGAAUGGAAUAGUUUUGGCUGUGUUGAAUGCGUGGCCUCCAAAGUGAAGGUCGAACAAUGUUGACAUCCAUUGGAUUCAGUGAUAUGUGAC
Thalassophryne amazonica is the source of this 374-nucleotide long non-coding RNA. RefSeq lists it as uncharacterized. The transcript is spliced from 3 exons. The record is from RefSeq and is a predicted model, not a curated record. NCBI's taxonomy places the organism in Eukaryota, Metazoa, Chordata, Actinopteri, Batrachoidiformes, Batrachoididae.